UGGGGAAUCUUGCGCAAUGGGCGAAAGCCUGACGCAGCAACGCCGCGUGAGGGACGAAGGCUUUCUGAGUUGUAAACCUCUUUCGACAGGAACGAUUGUGACGGUACCUGUAGAAGAAGCACCGGCCAACUAUGUGCCAGCAGCCGCGGUGAUACAUAGGGUGCAAGCGUUAUUCGGAUUUAUUGGGCGUAAAGAGCUCGUAGGCGGUUCAAUAAGUGACGUGUUAAUCCCCCAGGCUUAACCUGGGGCCGCCACGUCAAACUGUUGUGACUAGAGUUUGGUAGGGGAUCACGGAAUUCCUGGUGUAGCGGUGGAAUGCGCAGAUAUCAGGAGGAACACCAGUAGCGAAGGCGGUGAUCUGGGCCAAUACUGACGCUGAGGAGCGAAAGCGUGGGGAGCGAACAGGAUUAGAUACCCGCGUAGUCC
This 426-nucleotide ribosomal RNA is filed under the name uncultured bacterium. RNAcentral's name for it is "bacterial SSU rRNA". It matches the Rfam family "Bacterial small subunit ribosomal RNA", at positions 355 to 796 of the family's 1533-position model. The record is from RNAcentral.